UGAGUGGAACAAGCCCAGUGGGCCUCAGC
This 29-nucleotide non-coding RNA is filed under the name Homo sapiens (human). The record is from RNAcentral. Lineage: Eukaryota; Metazoa; Chordata; Mammalia; Primates; Hominidae.